GACGAACGCUGGCGGCGUGCUUAACACAUGCAAGUCGAACGGAAAGGCCCUGCUUUUGUGGGGUGCUCGAGUGGCGAACGGGUGAGUAACACGUGAGUAACCUGCCCUUGACUUUGGGAUAACUUCAGGAAACUGGGGCUAAUACCGGAUAGGAGCUCCUGCUGCAUGGUGGGGGUUGGAAAGUUUCGGCGGUUGGGGAUGGACUCGCGGCUUAUCAGCUUGUUGGUGGGGUAGUGGCUUACCAAGGCUUUGACGGGUAGCCGGCCUGAGAGGGUGACCGGCCACAAUGGGACUGAGGUACGGCCCAGACUCCUACGGGAGGCAGCAGUGGGGAAUAUUGCACAAUGGGCCGAAGCCUUAUGCAGCAACGCCGCGUGCGGGAUGACGGCCUUCGGGGUGUAAACCGCUUUCGCCUGUGACGAAGCGUGAGUGACGGUAAUGGGUAAAGAAGCACCGGCUAACUACGUG
This 468-nucleotide ribosomal RNA is filed under the name uncultured bacterium. Its description in RNAcentral is "partial 16S ribosomal RNA". It matches the Rfam family "Bacterial small subunit ribosomal RNA", at positions 28 to 507 of the family's 1533-position model. The record is from RNAcentral.